AGUGGACUUGCUGGGUCAUACGAUAAUUUUGUUUGAGAAACUGUCGGGUUGUUUUCCAAGUGGCUAUACCAUUUUACAUUCCCACCAGCAAU
This 92-nucleotide microRNA precursor is filed under the name Marmota monax (woodchuck). The record is from RNAcentral. Lineage: Eukaryota; Metazoa; Chordata; Mammalia; Rodentia; Sciuridae.